This is a long non-coding RNA of Osmerus eperlanus (European smelt), 439 nucleotides long. RefSeq lists it as uncharacterized. The transcript has 2 exons. The record is from RefSeq and is a predicted model, not a curated record. NCBI's taxonomy places the organism in Eukaryota, Metazoa, Chordata, Actinopteri, Osmeriformes, Osmeridae.
AAAUGCAUUGUAGCAUCGUAAUCAUCAUCACCAUUUUCUUCAUCAACAUCAUCAUAAUAAUCAUAAUUUAUAUCCUGUCCCUUUUAAUUGAAUCAUAAUAAGUUAUUUUUUAUUGGUCUCUGUCUGUACAGUCUUUUUCAUCAAAGUUUUUAUUGUUUUUCCAUGUGAGAAACACACCACAUUUAACAACAUGUAACAGCUCCAAACACACACUACAGCAAUCUGGUUGGUAUUCCAGGUAGCGGGUUUAACAAACUGUGAGCCUAACCCUGAACUCUGAGUUGAUCUACUCUAAAAUGGGGAAACUCCGACUUUUCGAGGAUGAUGAUGAUGAUUAAGAUGACAGAGACUUUGGCUGCUGCUGCAGAAAUGGAUGCAGAGAAGCCUAAGUAUGGUAGGCUAGCAUGGGUAGUUCUCUCCCCAUGUACUUUUAUUUGCA